Corvus hawaiiensis (hawaiian crow) is the source of this 13478-nucleotide long non-coding RNA. RefSeq lists it as uncharacterized. NCBI's taxonomy places the organism in Eukaryota, Metazoa, Chordata, Aves, Passeriformes, Corvidae. The record is from RefSeq and is a predicted model, not a curated record. The transcript is spliced from 2 exons.
GCCGGGCACAGGGACACCGAAAGCGGCGGGCUGCGCUACCGCUGGAGCUGCAGGGGCUGGAGGGGGCGGCGGGAACAGCGGGGCUACCGGCGGAGCCGCCGCCGCCGGGACAAGCGGUGGAGCCGCGGGCGGUGCCUGAGAGCCGGCACAGGCGGGACCGCGGGCUCCGGGAGCGGCGCUGCAGCUGCGAGCGGCGCCACAGGAGCCUGGGCUUGGGGCGAGGCAGGCGGGAAUGGAGGGGGCGAUGCUGCCAGGGGCUCCCAGCCCUUCUCUUUCUUGCUUUCCCUUUGCUCCUUUCUUUGGGUCUCGGACAACUUUAAAAUUCUUAUCCCCUCAGACUCUGUUUCCCACCCAGCAUGAAGCGUACUUGCUUUCUUCUGUGGUAACGAGUUCUUUUGAAUUUACAAAUACUUAUAAAGCCUGACAGAUCCAGACUUCAAGAGCCAUGUCUGGGCUAGAAGACACGGUCGGAUCUUAUUUCCUUCUCGGCCCAACCAAACAUCCAAAACUGGAUCAUUUUGACUUUGCUCGUUUCCUUUGUACUUGGGUUUGUAUUCCAGUUAGCCAGCAUCACUCCCCAAGGGCUUUCCUGGGGUAUUUCCGCUGGCACGCCUCUAUUCCCUUUUUUAUUCCCUGACUCUUGCUUACUAGUUUUAUGUCCCAUUUUCUCAGAAUCUUAUCUAUCUUCCCCAGGCCUUUGUUUCCCACCUUUUUAAUAAAAACCAGCAAAACAAACAACUAUUCAAACCUCACUGCCUCUUUCCCCUUUCUUCUCCUAGAAUACAAAAGUUCCCGCCUCUUAAUAAAAUACGCCUCCUUCCAGAAAAUAAAGUUCUAUUUCAAGGUUUAGCAUUUCUAUCACCUACAUUCUCAUUCAUUCUCACUCACUCCUUUUUAUUGUUCCAACUUCUCUUUCUCAGGCGCUAUCAGUCACAACCACACAAGACUUAAUUUCAAAUUGCUGCCCAAUAUUCACCCCUGGGCCCAUAAUUCCAGGUUUCUUGGAGUAAUCCUCAAUUUGGCAGAAUUAAGCCUGGAUUUCUUGAAGUUUUAACCCUCAAUCCAGCAGCCUCAAAACCCAAAUGUCUCGGAACCAAUCCUCCAUUUAGCAGAGUUAAGCCCAGAUGUCUUGAAUUUUUGAACCCUCAAUCCGGCAGUCUUAAACCCUAAAUUUCUCGGAUCCCAUAAUAGGAAAUUCUUGACUCCCCUCCUUCAAGGAGUCCAAUCCCUCCCCUGAAAGCCCGUCCCAGUUAACCCGGGGCUUCUCUCACUCCUUUUAUCUUUGGCUUCGCCUCUUUACUGACUGCUUCCCUCGCGGCAGAGCAGAGCCGCAGCCUCAGAGGCUCCACACUCGCUUCGCAGCUCUGGGGUAACCAGCCCGCGUCUCAUGCACACGCUUUCAUCCCCUUUAUCCCCCCAAAAAGAGAAAAGAAAAAAUACCUUUCUCGGAGUCUUGGUGCACAAGAUUUUACGUGUUUAAUUACCGUGGUACCUCAGGGAGCCUUUUCUUUCCUUUCUUGUUACUUUGUCUCCUCUCUUGCGCUCCGGGUGUUUGACUGCAAAGCCCCCUGACCCCGCCGGGAAGCACAAAGCGAGGCCGCCAAAAGCGGCGGGGGCACCCCCCUGCUCUGGGUUCCCCGGGAGAUCCCAGAGCUGAGCCUUUAUCCCCGUACGGGCCCCAAAUUGUGAAACACGAGGUUUGCUAUUUGUAAAAUUUGAAGGAAAGUUUAAGAAAAGAGACAAUUCGGAGACAACAGCACAAAGGGCGGUACGGCCGGCUGCUUCGGCAGAGAGCCAAAGGCGCACCUGUACAGCCAAAAGAUCGGCUUUAAAAGUACAUCGCUUAUUUCGUAUUUCUCACCUGUUGGGGAGUGCCACUGCUGGUUUGAGUGAAGUGAAGCUUUGGCUGCAGGGAUCCCAGGCUGCUUAACUGGAUGGUGACAGUUUCAAAGUCACGGCUGUGCUGAGCAUUUCACAGCUCUGCAGGGAUUUCAGGUGACUCUCAUUUCCAGCUAGGCCACAGUAUGGCUAUGGCUUCAUUGUGGGGAAAAAAAAAAGAGUUUUGGAAUGGUUUGGGUGGGAAGGGACCUUAAAGAUGGUUUAUUUCCAACCCCCCUGCCAUGGCAGGGUGUGGAGAGCUUGCUGCUCUUUGGUCCUGAAAGUGGGAUUGGCCAUUUAUACAGUGCUGGUGUUUAGGGAAGACUCUUCAGUGCCACAGAUCUGAUUUUCCCCUUAUUUUCUCUCCCUUUAGGGGUUUAUGUGUGUGGUGCAUCUUUCCUGUUGGCUCAGUGGGGCCUUCUUGCAUCUGGGCUGUCCAAUUUCCUCGUGUGCUUUGGACAACUGUGUUUGCAAGUCAUUACGCCUCACAAUUUUUCAGCUCAGCCUCUGAAUUUUUGUAGUUUGCAGAGCUCCUGUGCCAAGCUAUCAUUUGGUAUUUUUAUAUGUGUAAAACAGAACAUGCAGGAAACACUUUUUAUAUUCUGGAGUUGUCAUUGUAGAAGUGACUUUGCAGAUGGUGCAUCAGUUGCUUGGAAAGAUUUGACAGCAUCCUGGUUUUGCCUUUCAAUAACCUUUCUGUCAUGAAGAUUGGCAAUUGUGUUUGAGUUGGCACUUACUCUUUUCAGCACCCCAUGUUCUAAGUACUUUUUAUUUUGGUGGCUUGGAAUGUGUUAUCUCUAAUAAUGUUUCCCUUACCUGAACAAGAGAACUGUGAUAGAAGCCCAUGAACAAACCCCUGAUACUCUGUUCCCCUCUAAUCUCAUGAAUCAUUUAGUUGCACGUAGCAAUAUAAAUGUUUAAAUAUCUGGUCAGAAUGCAAAUAGUUCAUUGUCAUUCUCUGUGUUGGCAAGGGAGUGACAUUUGUAAGACACCUGGAGGAUGAAAUGUGUCACAAAGUGCUGUUCUUUAAUCUCAGGGCUUUUAGAGUGCUGGGCCAAGGAUCCCUUAGGGAUGGAAUCACCUCUUCAUCUUUACUUUCGUCUUCAAAUACAACUUCAACACAGGUUUUGUUUUGCAAGUCACAGAGUCGCCCAUGGCUGGUUUUUCACUUGGCUGCAGCAGUUAAAGCAGGUAAAGUGCAGGUGAAAUUCAGCUCAUCUUGGCUCCUGCUGUCAAGGAGACCCCAGGUUUUUAAAGGUUGGUAAAACCUCUGUCAAACACGGUGGGGUUCAGCUCCUGCACUGAAGGUAUUUUCAGGGCUUAUCUGGGAUUCUGUAUCUCAGCUGAUACAAAACUGUUUUCCACAGGAUGAUCUCCAGCAUAACCUCCAGUGCAAUGUUUAUUAAUCCACAUUUUGUAGAGCAGAUUUGGGACCCCUUUACACUCCACUAUACAAAUGAGAUGGAUAAUUAUUCAGUAAUUACAGGAAGCGGUGUGUAGCCGAAGCACUGAUAAUUUUGUGAUAAUAAAAUCACUUCCAAGAGCAAAAAGAGACUGAAUUCUAAAUACUGAAGCCACAUUUUCUGUAGGAACAACAGAGCUGAGCAGUUUGGUUUGCAUGAGUCAGUGGUUCAGAUAAUUUAUCUAAUGUCAUUCUAAUAGUCUGAUUCAUGAGAGAGAAAAAAAUAUGAAUAUAUAUAGGAAUAAUAAGGCCUGACAGAAAUUAUUUAUGACCAACUUUGUCUUUAUUUAGAUUGCAUGAGUCAUGCAGAAAACCAAAUUAUUUCGUAAUUAAACUUUAGCUGCUGAUGGGGCUGCACAGAGCACCAAACGCAGGCUGGGGAGGAUUCCCUCAGCAGGAGAUCAAACAGGUUCACAUUAAGGGGAAUUUCACCCAGCUGCUAAAAGGUGCAAUUAAAAAUGGAGUAAAAAAAUUAUGAACAUGAGGAGAACCUCAGGAUGUGCUCAGUGUUGGACUCCAGGCUAGGCCAGGACUGCUCUCAGCCAUUCCUUAAGGAAAAAUUCCUGUUGGAUUUCUUAGCACAGCCCAGCAAAGCGAGGAAUAACCUUGUUCAGUGGAGUUUUAGGGUCUGACAAGUUUUGUCCUUCAGGCACAGGACAGAAUUCCAUCAAAUCAUCAAAUCUGGGUGCUUUUCCUGCCUUAUCUGUAACAAACAGGGUUGUGCACACCUGACUUACAAUGCUCUGACAGAGAGCACAGGUUUGGUUUGGUUUUUUUUUUUAAUUAGAGUUGAAAUUUCUGCUGUCCCUUGGGUAUCUGGGAUAAGCCUGAAUUUAACCAAGCUCCUGUGUAUGGCCUGGCCUUUGAACAGCAACGUCUAGCACACAAAUAUAUAUUUAUAUAUAAGAUAAAACCUGACUGCCUUUGGGUACAAUCAACUCAGAGGAAAAUUAUUAAUCCCAGCACACAUGGCCAAGGACUGCUGGCACCUCCAACGCUGCUUUUUAUUAACACUUGGGGGAAAAAUAAUAAAGCUUUCAGUUCCAGUUCUGUUGUGAAAGCACUUUUCCCCCCCAGUUUUUAAUCUUGCUGUUAAAAGUUCAGCCAGAAGAGCUUUGGUUCGCUUCUGAAAAUGCGUCCCAGCACCAGUGUUGACAUGUCAGGGAUCAAACUGCCUCUGGGAGAGGUUUUAAACUUAGGGCUUGUUUCUUCUUGUACGGAUUGGAGAAAUACUCAGGUGUUUUUUAUGUGGGUGCUACCCAGGUGAAAUAAUUGUGGCCAUUUCAGCUCUUGAAGAGUAAUGGGUGAGUUGGAGAUGUCCAGGAUGGCAUUUUGAGGAGUUGACUUUUAUUUUGCAGAAAAUGCUGCUGCAACACAUGUGCAAAUAGAAAUCCUAAAAUUACUAUUUUAAAAUAUAAAUAUUAAGAGUCAUUAUUUUUAUGUAAAAGAACAACAUGUACUUCAGUGUAGAAGAAUUUUGGUCCUAAUGACGUUUUAUUGCAGUCAGGAUAUUUCAUUUUAGACCAGUGGUAGGAAAAUCAACUGCAGAAUUUAUUUUGCUCAAUUUAUUUAAUUUGACAGAGCUACAGUUGAAGAUAUAUUUCUUGUGGAUGUUGCUGUGAGAUUGCAGAAGUCUUGGAAUUAUCCUCUCCCAGAUUAUCCUCCUCACAGUUCAUUCCUAUGGGAUGUGGCCAUGGAGGAAUUGGAAUAUUUGGGAAUAGUCAAGGAGAUUACAGCACCUAUUUUUCCCUCUCCAUCACUCCUCUGGCACCUCAUUAGUGCAGGUACAAAGUACCUUGGGAUGAAGGAGGUUUUAGGAUAUUUUAAAUUGUGGCGUGGUUGCUUGUGAGUUUUUUCUUAAGUUCUUGAAGAAGAAUUAACUAAGGGCACAAAAUACAAUUUAUACUCAGCUUUUCAUUGGACACAGAGCUGUCAGAAUUUAACAAAGCUCAAAACCCAGUAUUUUCACUCUGAUAUUGCACUGUGAUGGCCAAAUUUAUCUGAAAUGAAACUCAGAACUCACCCCCUGCUUCUCCUGCUCCCCAGCAGUGGUUUCCUUUCAGCCACGUGCAUUCUCAGUGAUAUUUGCUGGUAUUUUGCAUUCUUUUUCCAUUUACUUUGGGCUUUUUAAGCUGUCACCUCCCCAGCCAGCUCCUGCCCAGUGUUGGAAGUGUUCCUGGUGCUCCUUGGUGACAUCAGCACCAGGAUGUCACCUCAGCCUGGAUUUAUUUAUUGGCACUGCCUCGCACUUCCCAACACAUCAUUUCGUUGCCUUCUAUUUGCUCUGACAAACAUUAAUAACAUAAAAUUGCCUUUCAUUUCCUAGCAAAGCAAAGAUUUAUUGGAUAGCCCCACUAAGUUUCAGCUGGUGCCCGUUGCCAUGGCAACAUGCAGGAACUUCAGGAAUCAUCUCCAGAAUUUCCUGAGUUUGAUGUCAAAUAGGAACAGCUUGGAAAGAUUUCCUUACACUGAACAGGACAGCAGGGACAAAGAUCCCACUCUGGUGGAACUCUUCUAGAUAUAAAAGUUAGGAAUUUUCCCAGGGUAUUUUGUAACCUAUUUUCAUUUGUCCUUUGUGCUGCAAAGGAGAAUACAAAGUUUGCUUUUUAUCUUUUUCGAUUUGAUGCCUUGGUGGUGAGCUCUGGGUCAGGUUGGCUGUUCCCACUCUUCCCAGUGUGCUGGAAAACAGGGAUUUAGGCUCUUGGCUUUGCUCACAUGGGGACCUGUAAAAUGUAAAAUGUUGAUAUUUUAAUGACUGGAGGUGUAGAGAUGCAAAGAUAAUUCACAAAUGGGAAAAAACAAAUUAAUCAGACAAUUAAUAUAAAAGGAUAAAGGGAUUAAUUCAGAGCCAAAUCAGUGCCCCUCAGCUGUAAUGGAAUCUGAAGGAGAAUAUAUUCUGUAUAAAGGCAACUUUCCUGAAAAUCUCAGCCAUUUCCAGGGACUGUUUCAGCAUUAAUGUGCACAUCAAAGUUUAUUCUGCACUUCAUAUUUCUCAAAUCAGGCCACGGAGUUGGGUUGUUGGGCAUCAACACCAGUUACCCUCAGCAAACAUGGGAACCAAAUUGUCCUGAAAGGAGAAAGUUGUGGUUGAGCUUGGAAAACGCUGCAGUCUCAGGCUUUUGGUGGUGAAAUGGAAUUGAAUUAAUGAGCUGGAGGAGUCUGAAUAAUUACACAGCAACAGAGAAAGCAAACAGAGAAAUGUGCAACAACUCACAAAACCCCAACAAAAUGAUUUGCAUUUCACACCCACUCUGGUUCGUUUGGAAGGGAGGAGGAGAAGGAGCUGAGACCCACCUUGCUGGGAGAAGGUGACAGCAGCAGGGUUUGGAGUGUUUAAAUUGUGUUUUAUACUCAGUGGUAGAGCCGUGUCUUCUGCUCACAGUGCAUUCCCUUGAAAACACACGUGGAAAACCAAACAGGGCUUUGGAAAAACACCUGAGCUUCAUUCUCAUGGGCAGAUUUCCUGGAUUCACGGCUGUGGAUCCAUACAAAAAUUCCUCUAUGAGGAAUUAGGGGUGCAAACACAACAAGGAAAUCAUUUUCAUUGUUUUUACCUGGUGGAUUUGCUGUAAGCUGCCCAUUAACACAGAGAGGAGAGAAUUUCUCUCCAGAUGGAUUAUUUCAAAGUCACUGACUGGAGACUUUCCUAUAUUCUACAUAAAAAUCACCAAAAUAAUCCCUCUGAUUGAGGAAGGCAGGGCAGCAGGAGUACAGCUCCCAUCAGGAGUGACAGGAAUGGCUUCACACUGACAUGGAGGAGGUUUAGAUGGGAUAUUGGGAAGAAAUCAUUCCCUGUGAGGGUGGGGAGGCCCUGGGAUGGAAUUCCCAGAGAAGAACUUUUUGAAUUUCUCAUUUUUUUGAACACUUAACCAACACCAGAAUGCUCCUGGAAUUUCUGUUCAGUUCUUUUCCUCCUCCUCAGAUUAGCUGGAUUAUUUACUCAUGUCUCAGCUACUCCAAGGAGGAAUUAGUCCAUGUUUUGAGAGCUUUGUAAAACAUCAUGUAGGUGUCAGGGUUUUAAAUAAUCUCUCAGAUAGCAUUUAUCUCUAUAUUUAAUAGGCUUUCAAUUAGCAUGCCAAUGGACACUGACUCGUUUUAACGACACAGCCACGUUUUUAAUUGCAGCAUCGCCCAUUCAGCCUUGUGUCUCAUUGCAACAGGAUUGCUGAAGUGCUGCUUUUAUCCCCAGAUGCACAAGGACAAAGCUUUCACUCAAUUCCCUGCUAUUAGGAUGGAGUGGGAACAUUGUCUCAGCAGGUACAGGAAAGCUGAAAGGGGAAGAGUUCAAGAGCAGAUUUUUUGGGCCCUGCUGCUGAAUGGCUGGAAUUUUAUAGGUUCUCCCCCAAAAUGGGAUUUCUGUGCUAAAUCCCAAACACAGGAGAAAUUGGGAUUAGUUGUAGCUGGAUCUCCCUUUUCUCUGCAGAGUUCACCCUCCUGGGCUGAAAUUCUCCACAGCCAAUGAAUGAGUGAGGUCCUCAGUAAAGGAAGAACAGAACUCCACAACUGUUUCAGAAGUUGGAUAACAGCAAAAUGCUGUCCUAAGUCAGGUGUUCCAUUUGCAGUGUGAGCACACCACAGCCCAUAUUCAGCAUGAAUUCCUUUCCAGCACGCACUCAGAUCCCACUUUGCACUUCCAUCUGCUCCCUUGGAACACCUGUAUUUGUAUUAAAAGCUGGUCUGAUUUCUGGUUUAGGGUCUUUUUUGUCCCUUUUGCGUCCGUGUGUCACCUAUCAGUGAGGUAAAUCUGGUGAUUGCAGGUGGUUUGAUGUCAAGGCAAGCUGCAGGCUUUGAAGUUUUAAUCCAACAAUCCCCUUAGCAGGCAGGAAAGGUUUUGAGACAUCAAUUUUCAGUGUGCUAUGAGUAUAAAAGCAGGGGCAGCUCUGGUGACUCCUCUCCCAGCUGAUGAUGGAAGUGGAGUUUUGGGAGGUGUGACACUGAUCACUGCUGGGAUCUGAAGGGUUCUCUCAAAUCCUUAUCCCUGCUUUCUCACACAGAGCCCGAGUUUGUCUCAGGGAUUUAUCUCCUGGCAGCUGUGCCCUGCCUUGGCACACAGGGCAUUUUUGCAACAGCACAAUCGAUUAUUAACAAAAGCCCCCCAAAGCUUUCACCAUUAUCAUGUUAAAAACCACUUGACUUCAGCUUAGUCUCGUGCUCAGUGUUAAUAUUCUCAUAUUCCUGUGGAAAACAGUGGCUAAGCGUGGAAUUCUCAGGUUCUCAGCACUGCACAGGAUGACGUUUGUGGCUGUAAUAGUGGCACAUUCCCACUGAGUGUUUCAAUACCUUUUAUCUGUAACAUUUGUUGUCAAAAAGGUGAAAAUUGAAGUAAUUCUGAAGCAGAAUGUGACCAAUGUCUGGACUGUGGCAAAAUGGACCAGACUGAGGCUUUCAGCCACUUCCACAAUUAAAAUAAACAAGGCUCAGAUAAACCCAGAGUGGGAGAUAAAUGGAGCUGAGGAUACGACUGCACCCGAUUUCCGCGGGCUUUGUCAUUCCACGUUGACAGCAUCACUCCCCCUCUGCACAACUGUGAACAUUUUGUUCUCACCUGAUCAUUGAUUCCUCUCAUCCUGAGGAACAACUUUAUCAUCAGCUUCCAGAAAUGAGUGUCCAGCCCCUCUCCAUGAGCAGUGCCAUCCUCUCAGGGGGAAGCUGCUCUGGAAUGCUGUUAAAUUCUUGGCACACACUGAAUUUCAGCAAAAAAGAUAGACCCAGACUUGUGAGUCAUUUCCUUGAUUGAUCUAAUUUACCUUGAAGGUUAAUGUAUUCUAAACUGAUUCAGACAUUAAUAACCACUUAAAGAUAUACGAAAGACAUUUAUCUGUAUACCAGGCGAGUGUUGUAACCUCAUUUAUGAUCUCUUCAAUGACUUUGGGAACUCAUUGGCUGAGAUUUAAGAGUGAUUUGAUUGUUUGAUACACAGAGUGGCUGGUACAAAGUAAAAGGUGUUUUAGAGCUCACCAGAUAAUUCUGAACAUGGGAUGUAAUUCUAUUUGCUUACAGUGCAUAAUUAAAACCUUUGUGGGAAGGUGAUGAUGUUUUUUCUUAUGGCAUUCAUUACAAUGUUCAAUGAUUAAAUAAUUGGACCAGAACAAUUCCCAUUCUCCAGUUUGUUUUUGGCUUCUGGGACAGCAGAAUUGAUGGUGCUGCUCUUUCUCCCUGAUUUUUUUAAGACUGCACUGCACCACCAAUACCAGGAGCUCAGUUCUGUCCAGAGUUUGGUAUUUACAAAUGCUGAACAUCUUGAGCUGCCAGGAACUGUGGAGAGUUGCAAGUUUGAAGAAGCAGCAGGGAAUAGAUCAGGCAAAUAGCAUCUGUUUCCUGUAAAUAUUUUGGUUUCUACUCACACCAGAAAGGUGCCCAAACUGGGAGUGAGCAGGCCCCAUGGACAGCUCUGGAUGUUCUGUGUGAUCCCAUGCACUGAUUAAAACCCCGAAGGUGACACACAGGGUGCAGAGUGUGGGACCUUCGCUGCCUGUGGAGUUGGGCUGUGUUUUGUCCGGGUUUUUAUCUCACACCAGGGCUGCAGGAACACGGAAUGCACACUGAGCCCUGGCUGAUUCAUCUCCAGCUCCUCAGUGUCAGACCACAGCUGAGCCCAGGCUGAUCCAGAAGUGUCAAGAGAGAAAGGGACUGGGCUGGAAUCAGGGCUCUGGAUGCAGCUCUGAGCUGCUCAGGCACCCAAAUAAAAACCUGUUCCAUACCGAAGCCAAGCCAAGCAAACAGUUAAAGCUAUAAAAUAAUUAUAAAUGAAGAACAACCACCACAGGCUUCUCUGGGCAAGCUCCCCACCCUCACAGGGAGGAAUUUCUUCCCAAUAUCCCAUCUAAACCUCCUCUCUCAGCUUGUCCCAUUGAUUGGCUGAUAACUGCCCCACCAAAACAAGAAUAUACCCCCAAAAAAUCAUGAAGCUGCUGCUGAGCUUGGUUUGAGAAGCUUGGGCUCGUGAUAAACUGGGGGAAGGAGGCUGUUAUCCCUGCCACUUUGUAUCCCAGCCUGCCAUUAGUCAUUUGAACUCACAGCAUAUGUCAGCCAGGGAAAUUUCUGCAGUUUGGAAAUACAUUAUUGGAGGGUGUUCUCCUGGACAAAAGCUGUCAAAUAUCAUUAGCACAGCCUGUCCAUCUUUUGUGAGGUUUUUUUAAAGAGAUAAAGCUUGGAGCAAUAUGGUGUCAGUCUGUAGAUUAAAUUAAAGGUGGUGAAGUAGAUACUUUAUCGGAUUUUCUACACAAGAAGGUGCAGAUUUGCUACUGAUAAUUCAUAGGGCUCUGGAGAGAUUCCAUCUGUUUAUCACCUGGUGCAUUGAGGAGGAAGAAGUUUUCCUUUAAAUCGUUGUAAAGCCUAUCAGGAUUCCAGGGAGCUGACACCAUGAGGAUCAUUCCAGCCCUUCCCUGGGCCGGUGUAUGUAAAGUGCAAUUAGACAAUUUAGGUUUUCAAAUCUGAUGAGGUUUGGUGAACUGAAAGAGGGAGAUGUCAGCUGGGCAGAGGCAGGAGAAUCCUGAAGGAAAGGGAGAAGCACAACCUCAGGCAGGCUGGUGUUGAUGUCAACAGAGCUGGGAAUUCCUGACAGCAAUUUCUGCUGGGGUUGGGCUGGGCAGCAACGUGCGGCUGAUGCCAAAGCAAAGGCUCUGAAAACCCACGGGGCAGAGGUUCCAGGAUUCCCUGAGUUCCCAUGGAAAGGAAGGAAUGCCAUUCCCACCCUGGAUUUGAGAAUGCAGCACAGCAAUGCCUUGCUUGUGAUUCAGAGGUGCUCGUCUCUCUAACGGCACUGAUGGCAGCAAAAAGGUCAAACCCACCUUCAUUCAUCAUCCCAGUUUUCCCCUGCAGGAUCAGUUUGGGGUUGGUGGCAGUUAAACCGGAAGAGGAAUUGAUUUUCUGGGUGAACACUUCAGAAUUUAGCUGGACACAAAAGCAAAGCCAUUCCCACUGUCAGACACGGGGCUGGAUUGUGUCCUUCACCCUGGUUUUGGUCAGCCUCCAGAUCAGCUUCAUACCUUUGGAUUAUUUAGAAAAAACUCUUAAAGUUUUGCUGAACAAAUUGCUUUUGGACAACUUUUUCUGAAGAAGGGAGAUGUAUUUUUGCCUGGUUCUAACAAAGUGAUUGGAGCUGGCAGCUCAGUUAUGAAGCCAGAGCUUCAUUUUUCAGACUUUACACAGCCACCAAAAGACUUCCACUGGAGGAGGAAGUGUCAGUAACAAAUGGUUACAGUAACUCUGUAGUAAGAAUUAUUCUAUUGCCUGUGGACUGUUGUAAAAUCUCAUUUUGACUUUUCUCAAAAUAAUUGUGUUGUAGGAGAUCCAGGCACUGAGACAGGAAUUGCAGUUCUGACAUCUCAGUAUCAAUGCUGAACGUUCCUGACUAUCCCAGCUCCCAGCUCUCCUCUGCAAGGCAAAGAGAAAGGAAACAGCCAGAAGUUGAUCCUGCCUGGACAUGACCCUGUGGGAAGGGAGAAUGGAAAAGCUGCUUUCAAAGCAGACAAGCUGAAGGAUAUUCCCUGAUUCCCACUCUUCUGCCUCAAGAUGAAAUUUUGGUGAUGAAAAUCAAGAUGAAACUGUGGGAAUGUUAAAGAGGUGCAGCUGCAUCCGCAGAUGUAGAGUUUCCUAUAAACGAGGGGAGCACAAACGAGCAGGAAAGCAGAGCCCUGAGCCUUCCCUCCCUUUUCCAGCCCUUUUCUGCUCCAGCAGAGAACUCGUGCUUCAGGCCAAGAACAAUGUAUGGAAAUGAUCCAGAGGGGUCACCUAAAGGUGUUGCUGGGGAAAGAAGCAAUUUCCAGCCUGAGUGGCACCCUCAGUUUGGAAAACUCCUCUGCAGUCCCACAAAUCCUCCUGAGUUUUGUUCAGGAUGGCCCUGACCAGCACUGCUUGAACAGACAGAGUUAAACCCUUUGCCCCAUCCCCAAGGGGCAGAACACAGGACAGCAUUUCCCAGGCAGUCCCACUAAAAUAUCCCAGCGAAGGAAUGAGGGAAGGGCCUGUUUGUGGGGCUGAGGGAGGUUCGGUGGCACAGCCAUCCCCAGCCAGCUCAUUUUUCACUUCAGUCUUUUUCCCUUUGGUGCUGUCUGCAAAUCCUGGGAGGCAGCUCGGAGAUGUGCUGUGGGUUUGAUCCCGUUGUAUCUCUGGAGCAGCAGCUCUGAUAGCAUUCCUCUCGAUUUAGCACGGACUAAAUGCAAGCUGUAAUAUUUUAUUAAACUAUUCCCACUUCUUCAGCUUGCUGUGUGAGUUAGGCUGUUUAUGAGAUGCCGGAUGGUUAGCAGAAAAAAAAUGGAUUAACAGAAUGCUACAUUCAUUUUUCUCUAACUUCUGGGUCAAAUUUAAUCAGCUUACAAGUCAAAGAAUGCUUUCUGCCACAGCAGUAAACACAGCUGGGAUCCAAAGUGGAGCUGUUGGGGGCAGAAAAAAGGCUCAUGCAGUUACAUUGUCAGCUAAAUUCUUCUUUCAGGCUCUUUCUCACUGCUUGUGAUCCUUGGAAGAAAGAGGCAACUUUUUAAUUUCAGCAAAGGCCAGGUUGCCUGGAUUGCUCAUGUGGCUCCUGUCAGACUUUUCUCAUUCCUAAGAAAUCCCAGCUCUGCAAGUGCUACAGGAGAAAAUUUAUUUCUUCAGUGAAGCCCAAGCGUAGGGAUUAAAAAUAGAGAGGAAACAGAAUUAUUGUGUGAGGUGGGGUGGGGUUCACCCUGCUCCGGUUUUCUGACAGUAAUCAAAGCUGUCUGCAAUAUUGCACAAGGUGAUAUCCCCAAUAAAGGCAGGAGAAGGUUGGGCAUUUAUCAUCAGUUUAUCAAAUUCCCACUCCUGGUGUGCACAGGCCUCAUCUGCAGUGGGAAACCACAGAGCAGGAAAAAGGAGGUGUCUGACUUCACUGAGAAACCGUGGAAAGAAAAGACUUUCUGUCAAACACUGAAUACAGCGAUAUAAUACAUUAUCUUUCAGAGAUCUUCUUAAUUCUGACAAUUCCAGUGUAAAUUUGGUGACAGGAUCUAUUUUCCCCUUUGAGUUGGUGGCACUUCACAAGGACAAUAUGUCACUAGGAUAAUGUGCUUUUUCCCAAAUGCCCCACUGUGCUUUUAGCCAUUUACAUUUCUGACACCUUAAUGCACUCUCUUUGCUGCUGAAAUCAAUGGCUCAUUAAAAUAACUCAAUAGAAUUAUAA